GAUACCAGCAGGACUUUCUUCAUCACUUCUUGCUGUGGAUAAUUUUUCAGAAAUAUCUCCAAUAUUACUUGUAAAAGGAAUCUUGCAGAUUAAUAAACCAGAUCUUCCUUUGGCAACCGGAGAAUAUUCCUUCACAUUUGGAGUUAUACUUGUGGCAUCGUCUCUACUUACGAGUCUUGGACUUGCAUGGAUGGUAGGAUCAAAGCCAUUAAUUUGGAGUAUUAUUAUUGCUGCAGG
Non-coding RNA from Arachis ipaensis, 237 nucleotides. NCBI's taxonomy places the organism in Eukaryota, Viridiplantae, Streptophyta, Magnoliopsida, Fabales, Fabaceae. The record is from RefSeq and is a predicted model, not a curated record.